Pecten maximus is the source of this 695-nucleotide long non-coding RNA. RefSeq lists it as uncharacterized. The transcript has 4 exons. The record is from RefSeq and is a predicted model, not a curated record. NCBI's taxonomy places the organism in Eukaryota, Metazoa, Mollusca, Bivalvia, Pectinida, Pectinidae.
CAGGAGUCGAGCCUCGCACUGAUGUCAACAUUUAGGUGUCGGUGUAACACAGAUAUUGGUCCUUGUCCAAUAGGACACAGGAGUCGAGCCUCGCACCGAUGUCAACAUUUAGGUGUCGGUGUAACACAGAUAUUGGUCCUUGUCCAAUAGGACACAGGAGUCGAGCCUCGCACUGAUGUCAACAUUUAGGUGUCGGUGUAACACAGAUAUUGGUCCUUGUCCAAUAGGACACAGGAGUCGAGCCUCGCACUGAUGUCAACAUUUAGGUGUCGGUGUAACACAGAUAUUGGUCCUUGUCCAAUAGGACACAGGAGUCGAGCCUCGCACCGAUGUCAACAUUUAGGUGUCGGUGUAACAAAGAUAUUGGUCCUUGUCCAAUAGGACACAGGAGUCGAGCCUCGCACCGAUGUCAACAUUUAGGUGUCGGUGUAACACAGAUAUUGGUCCUUGUCCAAUAGGACACAGGAGUCGAGCCUCGCACCGAUGUCAACAUUUAGGUGUCGGUGUAACAAAGAUAUUGGUCCUUGUCCAAUAGGACACAGGAGUCGAGCCUCGCACCGAUGUCAACAUUUAGGUGUCGGUGUAACACAGAUAUUGAUCCUUGUCCAGGAGGAACACAGGAGUCGAGCCUCACACAAACGUUAACAUUUAGGUGUCGGUGUAACACAGAUAUUGAUCCUUGUCCAGGAGGAACA